RNAcentral lists this ribosomal RNA (433 nucleotides) under uncultured bacterium. Its description in RNAcentral is "partial 16S ribosomal RNA". It matches the Rfam family "Bacterial small subunit ribosomal RNA", at positions 29 to 507 of the family's 1533-position model. The record is from RNAcentral.
AGCGAACGCUGGCGGCAGGCCUAACACAUGCAAGUCGAACGAACUCUUCGGAGUUAGUGGCGGACGGGUGAGAAACACGUGGGAACGUGCCUUUUGGUUGGGAAUAACUCAGGGAAACUUGUGCUAAUACCGAAUGGGCCCUUCGGGGGAAAGAUUUAUCGCCAUUAGAGCGGCCCGCGUCUGAUUAGCUAGUUGGUGAGGUAACGGCUCACCAAGGCGACGAUCAGUAGCUGGUCUGAGAGGAUGACCAGCCACACUGGGACUGAGACACGGCCCAGACUCCUACGGGAGGCAGCAGUGGGGAAUCUUGCGCAAUGGGCGAAAGCCUGACGCAGCCAUGCCGCGUGAAUGAUGAAGGUCUUAGGAUUGUAAAAUUCUUUCACCGGGGACGAUAAUGACGGUACCCGGAGAAGAAGCCCCGGCUAACUUCGUG